CCAUAUCGUUUGAAUCAAGUUUGUCUAGUGUGCUACCCUUUAAACUUUUUCCAGGUUCACAAAAUAUUGGUUAACCACCCUCAGAUUCAAUUACACCAUCAUCAUAAUUUCUCUCCGGACAAUUAAACUUUGUCUUUAUUGUAUUCAAAUACCUUGAAUAUAAAGUCAUACAUUCAACUGCUAAAUAUCCCUCUACAAUCGAACCUUCAGGGUGAGCCAUAUUACCAAUAGAACACUACAAAAAUUGUAGGUAUCUCUCUAUUGGAUACAUCCAUCGAUAUUGAAUUGGUCCG
This 293-nucleotide long non-coding RNA is filed under the name Solanum tuberosum (potato). Its description in RNAcentral is "long non-coding RNA (STUB_LNC008149)". The record is from RNAcentral. Lineage: Eukaryota; Viridiplantae; Streptophyta; Magnoliopsida; Solanales; Solanaceae.